This 1139-nucleotide long non-coding RNA is filed under the name Sander lucioperca (pikeperch). Its description in RNAcentral is "lncRNA (ENSSLUG00000010093.1)". Lineage: Eukaryota; Metazoa; Chordata; Actinopteri; Perciformes; Percidae. The record is from RNAcentral.
CUAAACUAAAGGUUUAUAAAAUCCCAUGGAAUAUGAGAGUAACAAAGUCCAUUUGUUGCUUAAGCAUGCUGUUCUGCCUCAGCUUCAGAGUAAUACGAGGCGCCUGGCAACAGCAGCUGGGAGCUCCGUGGAAACCAUUGUGUUCCUGUGUGAAGCCAUUGAGUCAUCUGCUGAAAUGGAGCCCAGUACCACUGAUGGCAACCAGGACCUGGCCCUGUUCUGGGAGGAGAGUCCCCCAGUGCAAAGACUCAAGUGUCAGGUCCUGCAGGAUGUGAAGCCCAUCCUCAGACUGACGGCCAGCAGCGAUCACCAAAGGAGUCACGCAACGCUCCUGCAGGUGAUGGCCAGCAGCAGUCGCCUGGAGCAGAAGUUGGAGCGCUAUCUUUGGACCCUGAAGGUUUUUAUGGUCCUGGCCAUGGUCUUGACAGCUUUGUGGGGCUUCACUCUGUACAUCCACUAUUCAGCUGGCUAUUUGAACUGCUGGACCACGGCUAAAAACUGAGGCAGUUUGGAAAUGUUCUUCUGGUGUGUGUUUGACCUGCAACUGAUUUUCUCUUAACUGAAAUUCUGGACUCCUGGAAGUUUACAUCUUUUUACAUUGUGAUGUUUAUGUGGGUCUAUAUGGAUGCAGCUAUACUCCAGAGGCAUAGAUAAUGCACGCACACUGUGGAAACUAAUUUCCCUCCUGGGGACAAUAAAGUCUUUCUCAUCUAUCCAUCUCGUUCAUAAAUUCAUAACCCGGGAAAAUAACUUCUGGACAUUGUAUUGCUGUCUGGUCUCAUAUCAUGUCUUCCUUCAAACCAAUUUGAAUUCAUUGGACGUCCUCAAACGAGUUCUUGAAAGACGUUGGAAGUGCUUAAAUUUGACAUCCAGUUGUUUUUUGGACCCCUGCUUCAAGGGGGGAAAAAAAUAAUCAAAGAGCCGGUAAGUUUGGCUUCCCGUACAUGUUCUAUAAUACUAUGGUUGGGUUUAUUUCUUUAAGAAUGAUGCUUUAGCAGAAAUGAAUGCUUUUCAUUUGGAACCAUUGUUAGAAAUCCCCCCCACCCAAUGCAACACUGAGUCCCAUCACACUUCUAGUGUGUAAGAACAGAGAUGAGCGGGGGGAGAAGGGUGUCGUCUGCUGUAUCGAUAUGGAGAGG